UAGGGAAUCUUCCGCAAUGGGCGAAAGCCUGACGGAGCAACGCCGCGUGAGUGAUGAAGGUCUUCGGAUCGUAAAACUCUGUUAUUAGGGAAGAACAAAUGUGUAAGUAACUAUGCACGUCUUGACGGUACCUAAUCAGAAAGCCACGGCUAACUACGUGCCAGCAGCCGCGGUAAUACGUAGGUGGCAAGCGUUAUCCGGAAUUAUUGGGCGUAAAGCGCGCGUAGGCGGUUUUUUAAGUCUGAUGUGAAAGCCCACGGCUCAACCGUGAAGGGUCAUUGGAAACUGGAAAACUUAAGUGCAGAAGAGGAAAGUGGAAUUCCAUGUGUAGCGGUGAAAUGCGCAGAGAUAUGGAGGAACACCAGUGGCGAAGGCGACUUUCUGGUCUGUAACUGACGCUGAUGUGCGAAAGCGUGGGGAUCAAACAGG
RNAcentral lists this ribosomal RNA (429 nucleotides) under Actinomycetes bacterium. RNAcentral describes it as "Actinobacteria bacterium partial 16S ribosomal RNA". It matches the Rfam family "Bacterial small subunit ribosomal RNA", at positions 355 to 776 of the family's 1533-position model. The record is from RNAcentral. Lineage: Bacteria; Bacillati; Actinomycetota; Actinomycetes.